AGAAGUUAAGCAACAGUAUUCCAAUAAGUUUCUAAAGCGGAAAAGUGUAACUUGAUCGUAAAAAGAAAUAUGAAAUUAAUUAAAUCAAUCCUUUUAAUCGGCUGCAUUGUUGCCAGUGUUAUGGCUGCUGCAGGACAUGUUAAUGUGCAGGGCUCUAGUGACCCAGGUUCCCAUGUGGUUGCCGCAUAUGGACCUUAUUAUAACGAACAAG
Molecule: long non-coding RNA, 211 nt
Organism: Lucilia sericata (common green bottle fly)
Lineage: Eukaryota; Metazoa; Arthropoda; Insecta; Diptera; Calliphoridae
Exons: 3
Source: RefSeq, a predicted model, not a curated record